GUGCUCAAUUCAGUAGCACAUACACUAACAUUGGAACAAUAAAGAGAAGAAUCGCCCCUGACUGAGGAUGACACUCAACUUUGUGAAGCAUUCUAGAUUUUU
Molecule: small nuclear RNA, 102 nt
Organism: Dipodomys ordii (Ord's kangaroo rat)
Lineage: Eukaryota; Metazoa; Chordata; Mammalia; Rodentia; Heteromyidae
Source: Ensembl